AGCUCCAAUAGCGUAUAUUAAAGUUGUUGCGGUUAAAAAGCUCGUAGUUGGAUUUUGGAGCUCGAACUAAGGGUCCGGUUUAUCCGCGCACUUACGGUUCGGCUCUUCUGUCUGGAGACUCGGUGCGCCCUUCAUUGCGGUGCUCCGAGAAUCUAGGACUUUUACUUUGAACAAAUUAGAGCGUCCAUCGCAGGCUCACACGCCUUGAAUACAUUAGCAUGGAAUAACUCAUAGGACUUCAGUUCUAUUUUGUUGGUUUUAAGGACCGAAGUAAUGAUUAAUAGGGACAGUUGGGGGCAUUAAUAUUUAAUUGUCAGAGGUGAAAUUCUUAGAUUUAUGAAAGAUUAACUUCUGCGAAAGCAUUUGCCAAGGAUGUUUUCAUUAAUCAAGAACGAAAGUA
Molecule: ribosomal RNA, 400 nt
Filed under: phytoplankton environmental sample
Lineage: Eukaryota
Description: partial small subunit ribosomal RNA
Rfam family: Eukaryotic small subunit ribosomal RNA
Source: RNAcentral